This 1431-nucleotide ribosomal RNA is filed under the name uncultured Alphaproteobacteria bacterium. RNAcentral describes it as "bacterial SSU rRNA". It matches the Rfam family "Bacterial small subunit ribosomal RNA". Lineage: Bacteria; Pseudomonadati; Pseudomonadota; Alphaproteobacteria. The record is from RNAcentral.
AGAGUUUGAUCAUGGCUCAGAACGUACGCUGGCGGCACGCCUAACACAUGCAAGUCGAACGAAGUAGCAAUACUUAGUGGCAGACGGGUGAGUAACAUGUAGGUAUCUGCCCUUUGGCCUGGAAUAACACGAGGAAACUUGUGCUAAUACCGGAUAAGUCUUUACGGAGAAAGCUUUAUGCACCAUUGGAUGAGCCUGCACUUGAUUAGUUUGUUGGUGGGGUAAUGGCCUACCAAGACUGUGAUCAAUAGCUGAUUUGAGAGGAUGAUCAGCCACAUUGGGACUGAGACACGGCCCAAACUCCUACGGGAGGCAGCAGUGGGGAAUCUUGCACAAUGGAGGAAACUCUGAUGCAGCGAUGCCGCGUGAGUGAAGAAGGCCCUUGGGUUGUAAAGCUCUUUCGUCGGGGAAGAAAAUGACUGUACCCGAAUAAGAAGGUCCGGCUAACUUCGUGCCAGCAGCCGCGGUAAUACGAAGGGACCUAGCGUAGUUCGGAAUUACUGGGCUUAAAGAGUUCGUAGGUGGUUGAAAUAGUUGGUGGUGAAAUCCCAGAGCUUAACUCUGGAACUGCCAUCAAAACUUUUCAGCUAGAGUAUGAUAGAGGAAAGCAGAAUUUCUAGUGUAGAGGUGAAAUUCGUAGAUAUUAGAAAGAAUACCAAUUGCGAAGGCAGCUUUCUGGAUCAUUACUGACACUGAGGAACGAAAGCAUGGGUAGCGAAGAGGAUUAGAUACCCUCGUAGUCCAUGCCGUAAACGAUGUGUGUUAGACGUUGGAAAUUUAUUUUCAGUGUCGCAGGGAAACCGAUAAACACACCGCCUGGGGAGUACGACCGCAAGGUUAAAACUCAAUGAAUUGACGGGGACCCGCACAAGUAGUGGAGCAUGUGGUUUAAUUCGAAGAACGCGCAGAACCUUACCAACACUUGACAUGUUCGUCGCGACUUUAAGAGAUUAGAGUUUUCGGUUCGGCCGGACGAAACACAGGUGCUGCAUGGCUGUCGUCAGCUCGUGUCGUGAGAUGUUGGGUUAAGUCCCGCAACGAGCGCAACCCUCACUUUUAGUUGCCAUCAUUAAGUUGGGCACUCUGAAAGAACUGCCAGUGAUAAGCUGGAGGAAGGUGGGGAUGACGUCAAGUCCUCAUGGCCCUUACGUGUUGGGCUACACACGUGCUACAAUGGUAUCUACAACAGGAAGCAAGACUGCGAAGUUAAGCAAAUCCCUAAAAGAUACCUCAGUUCGGAUUGCACUCUGCAACUCGAGUGCAUGAAGCUGGAAUUACUAGUAAUCGUGGAUCAGCGUGCCACGGUGAAUGCGUUCCCGGGUCUUGUACACACCGCCCGUCACACCAUGGGAGUUGGUUCUACCUUAAGGCAAGGCUUAAAACCCUUGACCACGGUAUAGUCAGCGACUGGGGUGAAGUCGUAACAAGGUA